GAUGAACGCUGGCGGCGUGCCUAACACAUGCAAGUCGAGCGAGGGUUUGUUCAGUAUUGAGUAUUCUAACAACUAGAAUGUUCAAUUCUGAGCAAAACCAAGCGGCGGACGGGUGAGUAACGCGUGGGUAACCUGCCCUAUACACAUGGAUAACAUACUGAAAAGUUUACUAAUACAUGAUAAUAUAUAUUUGCGGCAUCGCAGAUAUAUCAAAGUGUUAGCGGUAUAGGAUGGACCCGCGUCUGAUUAGCUAGUUGGUGAGAUAACUGCCCACCAAGGCGACGAUCAGUAGCCGACCUGAGAGGGUGAUCGGCCACAUUGGAACUGAGACACGGUCCAAACUCCUACGGGAGGCAGCAGUGGGGAAUAUUGCACAAUGGGCGAAAGCCUGAUGCAGCAACGCCGCGUGAACGAUGAAGGUCUUCGGAUCGUAAAGUUCUGUUGCAGGGGAAGAUAAUGACGGUACCCUGUGAGGAAGCCCCGGCUAACUACGUGCCAGCAGCCGCGGUAAUACGUAGGGGGCUAGCGUUAUCCGGAUUUACUGGGCGUAAAGGGUGCGUAGGUGGUCCUUCAAGUCGGUGGUUAAAGGCUACGGCUCAACCGUAGUAAGCCGCCGAAACUGGAGGACUUGAGUGCAGGAGAGGAAAGUGGAAUUCCCAGUGUAGCGGUGAAAUGCGUAGAUAUUGGGAGGAACACCAGUAGCGAAGGCGGCUUUCUGGACUGCAACUGACACUGAGGCACGAAAGCGUGGGUAGCAAACAG
Molecule: ribosomal RNA, 762 nt
Filed under: uncultured Peptostreptococcus sp.
Lineage: Bacteria; Bacillati; Bacillota; Clostridia; Peptostreptococcales; Peptostreptococcaceae
Description: bacterial SSU rRNA
Rfam family: Bacterial small subunit ribosomal RNA
Source: RNAcentral